This 977-nucleotide ribosomal RNA is filed under the name Cortinarius vitreofulvus. RNAcentral describes it as "partial 28S ribosomal RNA". It matches the Rfam family "Eukaryotic large subunit ribosomal RNA", at positions 1 to 961 of the family's 3401-position model. Lineage: Eukaryota; Fungi; Basidiomycota; Agaricomycetes; Agaricales; Cortinariaceae. The record is from RNAcentral.
AUGUGACCUCAAAUCAGGUAGGACUACCCGCUGAACUUAAGCAUAUCAAUAAGCGGAGGAAAAGAAACUAACAAGGAUUCCCCUAGUAACUGCGAGUGAAGCGGGAAAAGCUCAAAUUUAAAAUCUGUCAGUCUUUGACUGUCCGAGUUGUAAUCUAGAGAAGCGUUAUCCGCGCUGGACCGUGUACAAGUCUCCUGGAAUGGAGCGUCAUAGAGGGUGAGAAUCCCGUCUUUGACACGGACUGCCAGGGCUUUGUGAUGCGCUCUCAAAGAGUCGAGUUGUUUGGGAAUGCAGCUCAAAAUGGGUGGUAAAUUCCAUCUAAAGCUAAAUAUUGGCGAGAGACCGAUAGCGAACAAGUACCGUGAGGGAAAGAUGAAAAGAACUUUGGAAAGAGAGUUAAACAGUACGUGAAAUUGCUGAAAGGGAAACGCUUGAAGUCAGUCGCGUUGUCCAGGGAUCAACCUUGCUUUUGCUUGGUGUACUCUCUGGUUGACGGGUCAGCAUCAAUUUUGACCAUUGGAAAAAGAUUAAGGGAAUGUGGCAUCCUUGGAUGUGUUAUAGCCCUUGGUUGCAUACAAUGGUUGGGAUUGAGGAACUCAGCACGCCGAAAGGCCGGGUUUUUAACCACGUACGUGCUUAGGAUGCUGGCAUAAUGGCUUUAAUCGACCCGUCUUGAAACACGGACCAAGGAGUCUAACAUGCCUGCGAGUGUUUGGGUGGAAAACCCGAGCGCGUAAUGAAAGUGAAAGUUGAGAUCCUUGUCAUGGGGAGCAUCGACGCCCGGACCAGACCUUUUGUGACGGUUCCGCGGUAGAGCAUGUAUGUUGGGACCCGAAAGAUGGUGAACUAUGCCUGAAUAGGGUGAAGCCAGAGGAAACUCUGGUGGAGGCUCGUAGCGAUUCUGACGUGCAAAUCGAUCGUCAAAUUUGGGUAUAGGGGCGAAAGACUAAUCGAACCAUCUAGUAGCUGGUUCCUGC